Molecule: transfer RNA, 73 nt
Filed under: Ptilorrhoa caerulescens (blue jewel-babbler)
Lineage: Eukaryota; Metazoa; Chordata; Aves; Passeriformes; Cinclosomatidae
Description: tRNA-Asn
Source: RNAcentral
UAGACAGAAGCCCGCUGGUUUGGGCAUGUAGCUGUUAACUAUAGUAUUAUGGGAUCGAGGCCCAUCUGUCUAG